Molecule: antisense RNA, 75 nt
Filed under: Mycobacterium shigaense
Lineage: Bacteria; Bacillati; Actinomycetota; Actinomycetes; Mycobacteriales; Mycobacteriaceae
Description: ASpks TB sRNA
Rfam family: ASpks TB sRNA
Source: RNAcentral
CUUGAUCGACCCCAACCACAACGGCUGAUCGGCCGGGCGGUCCUGCCCGUAGGUUGCCAGAAUCGCCUGCGCCUC